Molecule: non-coding RNA, 25 nt
Filed under: Cricetulus griseus (Chinese hamster)
Lineage: Eukaryota; Metazoa; Chordata; Mammalia; Rodentia; Cricetidae
Source: RNAcentral
CCCACUCUGAAAGGCAAGCUAGUUC